GUUUUCAUUGGAGCAACCAUUGGUAUCAGCUCUCUUGGAAUCUUUGGUGUCCGCAAACUUCAGAAAUGGGCUCUUAUUCUGUAUUUAGUUCUCGUCUCUCUGGGGAUGGUGUACAGUUUGUACGAGGGUGUAAUGAUGGUAGUGAACAAAACUGAGGUUAUGGAUGAGGUCGCAGGCACGCUUGGAGAUGAAUUCGAAGUUCACCACAAGUUCUUAAAUGGCAUAUAUGAUGCUGGAGUUGGGAUCGACUUUGCACUGGCUGUUGCAGCGUUCCUGGGGAUGUUAAUGGUUGUGCCCCUGCUGCGUCAAAUGUCAGGAGAGGAGAGACAUCCAUCCAUUAGUCCAUCAUCCCCAAUGUACAUAAACACAUACAAGGUCGGGUGCACACAAGCAGC
Long non-coding RNA from Engraulis encrasicolus (European anchovy), 395 nucleotides. RefSeq lists it as uncharacterized. The record is from RefSeq and is a predicted model, not a curated record. Lineage: Eukaryota; Metazoa; Chordata; Actinopteri; Clupeiformes; Engraulidae. The transcript has 4 exons.